Molecule: long non-coding RNA, 520 nt
Filed under: Arabidopsis thaliana (thale cress)
Lineage: Eukaryota; Viridiplantae; Streptophyta; Magnoliopsida; Brassicales; Brassicaceae
Description: ncRNA (AT3G04935)
Source: RNAcentral
UGCUACUGCUUCUUUUCUACUCUUGCUACUGCUUCUUCGUUUCAUUAUGGCUUCUUUUGGUUUACCUCUUUCUUGCUCCGGAUUCAUGAAACCAACAUUGUCUGGAAGAAGAAUUGUUACCAAGUUCACAUCUGUAAACUUUGUGCCAAAAUUUCAGAAUAUUGUUCUAAAAGUGUCUAAGUCUGUGCUGAAACUGAGCCUGUGAAGAAAAAAGUUGCUGAGUAUGUCGUUGAAACUGAACUUGUGAAGAAGGAAGUUGCUGAGUCUGUCGCUGAAACUGAGCUUGUGAAGAAGGAAGUUGCUUAGUCUGUCGCUGAAACUGAGCUUGUGAAGAAGAAAAUUGAUGAGUCUGUGGCUGAAGCUUAUGCUGCUGUGGAUGAUGUGAAUGUAGAUGAAGAAGUUGGUCCUGCUGGUUUGAAAACUGUUUUUGUAGAUGUGGGGAAGAAAUUUGUAGAUAUAAAGAAAAAAAUGAACACAAGAUAACAAUAUAAAAAUAGCUGAAAUUUUUUUCAGUUAUUGU